RNAcentral lists this ribosomal RNA (499 nucleotides) under uncultured Glomeromycotina. RNAcentral describes it as "partial small subunit ribosomal RNA". It matches the Rfam family "Eukaryotic small subunit ribosomal RNA", at positions 591 to 1092 of the family's 1831-position model. Lineage: Eukaryota; Fungi; Glomeromycota. The record is from RNAcentral.
CCAAUAGCGUAUAUUAAAGUUGUUGCAGUUAAAAAGCUCGUAGUUGAAUUUCGGGAUCAAAUUGUCGGUCGUGCCUCGGUACGUACUGGUAUUAUUGGUUCCUCCCUUCUGACGAACCACGAUGUCAUUAAUUUGGUGUCAUGGGAAAUCAGGACUGUUAAUUUGAAAAAAUUAGAGUGUUUAAAGCAGGCUCGCGCUUGAAUACAUUAGCAUGGAAUAAUGAAAUAGGCAGUUUGAUUCUAUUUUGUUGGUUUCUAGGAUCGACGUAAUGAUUAAUAGGGAUAGUUGGGGGCAUUAGUAUUCAAUUGUCAGAGGUGAAAUUCUUGGAUUUAUUGAAGACUAACUACUGCGAAAGCAUUUGCCAAGGAUGUUUUCAUUAAUCAAGAACGAAAGUUAGGGGAUCGAAGACGAUCAGAUACCGUCGUAGUCUUAACCAUAAACUAUGCCGACUAGGGAUCGGAUGAUGUUAAUUUUUUAAUGACUCAUUCGGCGCCUUACG